Molecule: ribosomal RNA, 253 nt
Filed under: uncultured bacterium
Lineage: Bacteria
Description: partial 16S ribosomal RNA
Rfam family: Bacterial small subunit ribosomal RNA
Source: RNAcentral
UACGUAGGCAGCAAGCGUUGUUCGGAAUUACUGGGCGUAAAGAGUGUGUAGGCGGUGCUCUAAGUUCGGUGUGAAAUCUCCCGGCUUAACUGGGAGGGUGCGCCGGAAACUGGAGUGCUCGAGCGCGGGAGAGGAAAGCGGAAUUCCUGGUGUAGCGGUGAAAUGCGUAGAUAUCAGGAGGAACACCUGUGGUGUAGACGGCUUUCUGGACCGUAGCUGACGCUGAGACACGAAAGCGUGGGUAGCAAACAGG